CCCUAGCAAAAUGGCCACAUUGCAAGUGUGUAGACGUUUGUUGUCGCGGGUUGUUUUGAAAACAUCAGCCCCAGUGACAGUUCAGUCAAAGAGAUACUUGAGGGUUGGUGACAGGUUGCCUAAUGUCGAGGUGUAUGGAGCCACGCCGAAUGACGUCAUUAAUCCUGCCGAGCUGUACAAAGGAAAACGAGGCGUGUUAUUUUCCGUAGUGGGAGCCUUCACGCCAGGUUGUAGUGAGUCACAUAUUCCUGAAUACAUAUCAAAUCAUCAAAAGUUCAAGGAGGAGGGGUAUGAUCUGAUCUGCUGUGUGGCCGUCAACGACCCCUUCGUCAUGGAUGCCUGGGGAAAGGAACUCCGAGCUGAGGGCAAGAUCAAGAUGCUGGCAGACACGAGAGGCGAGUUCACGAGGGCCAUGGGCAUGCAGCUGGAUUGUACCAAGCCUCUCGGGGGAUGGCGGUCCAGGAGGUAUUCUAUAGUGGUAGAGGACAGUGUGAUACAGCUGUAGUUUGGUGUUGCAGGUAUUCUAUAGUGGUAGAGGACAGUGUGAUACAGCUGUAGUUUGGUGUUGCAGGUAUUCUAUAGUGGUAGAGGACAGUGUGAUACAGCUGUAGUUUGGUGUUGCAGGUGUUCUAUAGUGGUAGAGGACAGUGUGAUAGAGCUGUAGUUUGGUGUUGCAGGUAUUCUAUAGUGGUAGAGGACAGUGUGAUACAGCUGUAGUUUGGUGUUGCAGGUAUUAUUUUGUGGUAGAGGACAGUGUGAUACAGCUGUAGUUUGGUGUUGCAGGUAUUCUAUAGUGGUGGAGGACAGUGUGAUACAGCUGUAGUUUGGUGUUGCAGGUAUUCUAUAGUGGUAGAGGACAGUGUGAUACAGCUGUAGUUUGGUGUUGCAGGUAUUCUAUAGUGGUAGAGGACAGUGUGAUACAGCUGUAGUUUGGUGUUGCAGGUAUUCUAUAGUGGUGGAGGACAGUGUGAUACAGCUGUAGUUUGGUGUUGCAGGUAUUCUGUAGUGGUAGAGGACAGUGUGAUACAGCUGUAGUUUGAUGUUGCAGGUAUUCUAUAGGGGUAGAGGACAGUGUGAUACAGCUGUAGUUUGAUGUUGAAGGUAUCCUAUAGUGGUGGAGGACAGUGUGAUACAGCUGUAGUUUGAUGUUGCAGGUAUUCUAUAGUGGUGGAGGACAGUGUGAUACAGCUGUAGUUUGGUGUUGCAGGUAUUCUAUAGUGGUAGAGGACAGUGUGAUACAGCUGUAGUUUGGUGUUGCAGGUAUUCUAUAGUGGUGGACAGUGUGAUACAGCUGUAGUUUGGUGUUGCAGGUAUUCUAUAGUGGUAGAGGACAGUGUGAUACAGCUGUAGUUUGGUGUUGCAGGUAUUCUAUAGUGGUAGAGGACAGUGUGAUACAGCUGUAGUUUGGUGUUGCAGGUAUUCUAUAGUGGUAGAGGACAGUGUGAUACAGCUGUAGUUUGGUGUUGCAGGUAUUCUAUAGUGGUAGAGGACAGUGUGAUACAGCUGUAGUUUGGUGUUGCAGGUAUUCUAUAGUGGUAGAGCGUGAUACAGCUGUAGUUUGGUGUUGCAGGUAUUCUAUAGUGGUAGAGGACAGUGUGAUACAGCUGUAGUUUGGUGUUGCAGGUAUUCUAUAGUGGUAGAGGACAGUGUGAUACAGCUGUAGUUUGGUGUUGCAGGUAUUCUAUAGUGGUGGAGGAGAGUGUGAUACAGCUGUAGUUUGGUGUUGCAGGUAUUCUAUAGUGGUAGAGGACAGUGUGAUACAGCUGUAGUUUGGUGUUGCAGGUAUUCUAUAGUGGUAGAGGACAGUGUGAUACAGCUGUAGUUUGGUGUUGCAGGUAUUCUAUAGUGGUAGAGGACAGUGUGAUACAGCUGUAGUUUGGUGUUGCAGGUAUUCUAUAGUGGUAGAGCGUGAUACAGCUGUAGUUUGGUGUUGCAGGUAUUCUAUAGUGGUAGAGCGUGAUACAGCUGUAGUUUGGUGUUGCAGGUAUUCUAUAGUGGUGGAGGACAGUGUGAUACAGCUGUAGUUUGGUGUUGCAGGUAUUCUAUAGUGGUGGAGGACAGUGUGAUACAGCUGUAGUUUGGUGUUGCAGGUAUUCUAUAGUGGUAGAGGACAGUGUGAUACAGCUGUAGUUUGGUGUUGCAGGUAUUCUAUAGUGGUAGAGGACAGUGUGAUACAGCUGUAGUUUGGUGUUGCAGGUAUUAUUUUGUGGUAGAGGACAGUGUGAUACAGCUGUAGUUUGGUGUUGCAGGUAUUCUAUAGUGGUGGAGGACAGUGUGAUACAGCUGUAGUUUGGUGUUGCAGGUAUUCUAUAGUGGUAGAGGACAGUGUGAUACAGCUGUAGUUUGGUGUUGCAGGUAUUCUACAGUGGUAGAGCGUGAUACAGCUGUAGUUUGGUGUUGCAGGUAUUCUACAGUGGUAGAGCGUGAUACAGCUGUAGUUUGGUGUUGCAGGUAUUCUAUAGUGGUGGAGGACAGUGUGAUACAGCUGUAGUUUGGUGUUGCAGGUAUUCUAUAGUGGUAGAGGACAGUGUGAUACAGCUGUAGUUUGAUGUUGCAGGUAUUCUAUAGGGGUAGAGGACAGUGUGAUACAGCUGUAGUUUGAUGUUGAAGGUAUCCUAUAGUGGUGGAGGACAGUGUGAUACAGCUGUAGUUUGAUGUUGCAGGUAUUCUAUAGUGGUGGAGGACAGUGUGAUACAGCUGUAGUUUGGUGUUGCAGGUAUUCUAUAGUGGUAGAGGACAGUGUGAUACAGCUGUAGUUUGGUGUUGCAGGUAUUCUAUAGUGGUGGACAGUGUGAUACAGCUGUAGUUUGGUGUUGCAGGUAUUCUAUAGUGGUAGAGGACAGUGUGAUACAGCUGUAGUUUGGUGUUGCAGGUAUUCUAUAGUGGUAGAGGACAGUGUGAUACAGCUGUAGUUUGGUGUUGCAGGUAUUCUAUAGUGGUAGAGGACAGUGUGAUACAGCUGUAGUUUGGUGUUGCAGGUAUUCUAUAGUGGUAGAGGACAGUGUGAUACAGCUGUAGUUUGGUGUUGCAGGUAUUCUAUAGUGGUAGAGCGUGAUACAGCUGUAGUUUGGUGUUGCAGGUAUUCUAUAGUGGUAGAGGACAGUGUGAUACAGCUGUAGUUUGGUGUUGCAGGUAUUCUAUAGUGGUAGAGGACAGUGUGAUACAGCUGUAGUUUGGUGUUGCAGGUAUUCUAUAGUGGUGGAGGAGAGUGUGAUACAGCUGUAGUUUGGUGUUGCAGGUAUUCUAUAGUGGUAGAGGACAGUGUGAUACAGCUGUAGUUUGGUGUUGCAGGUAUUCUAUAGUGGUAGAGGACAGUGUGAUACAGCUGUAGUUUGGUGUUGCAGGUAUUCUAUAGUGGUAGAGGACAGUGUGAUACAGCUGUAGUUUGGUGUUGCAGGUAUUCUAUAGUGGUAGAGCGUGAUACAGCUGUAGUUUGGUGUUGCAGGUAUUCUAUAGUGGUAGAGCGUGAUACAGCUGUAGUUUGGUGUUGCAGGUAUUCUAUAGUGGUGGAGGACAGUGUGAUACAGCUGUAGUUUGGUGUUGCAGGUAUUCUAUAGUGGUGGAGGACAGUGUGAUACAGCUGUAGUUUGGUGUUGCAGGUAUUCUAUAGUGGUAGAGGACAGUGUGAUACAGCUGUAGUUUGAUGUUGCAGGUAUUCUAUAGUGGUGGAGGACAGUGUGAUACAGCUUUAGUUUUGUGUUGCAGGUAUUCUAUAGUGGUAGAGGACAGUGUGAUACAGCUAUAGUUUGGUGUGUCAGGUAUUCUAUAGUGGUGGAGGGCAGUGUGAUACAGCUGUAGUUUGGUGUUGCAGGUAUUCUAUAGUGGUGGACAGUGUGAUAGAGCUGUAGUUUGGUGUUGCAGGUAUCCUAUAGUGGUAGAGGACAGUGUGAUACAGCUAUAGUUUGGUGUGUCAGGUAUUCUAUAGUGGUGGAGGGCAGUGUGAUACAGCUGUAGUUUGGUGUUGCAGGUAUUCUAUAGUGAUGGAGGACAGAGUGAUACAGCUGUAGUUUGAUGUUGCAGGUAUUCUAUAGUGGUAGAGGACAGAGUUAUACAGCUGUAGUUUGGUGUUGCAGGUAUUCUAUAGUGGUAGAGGACAGUGUGAUACAGCUGUAGUUUGGUGUUGCAGGUAUUCUAUAGUGGUGGAGGACAGUGUGAUACAGCUGUAGUUUGGUGUUGCAGGUAUUCUAUAGUGGUGGAGGACAGUGUGAUACAGCUGUAGUUUGGUGUUGCAGGUAUUCUAUAGUGGCGGAGGACAGUGUGAUACAGCUGUAGUUUGGUGUUGCAGGUAUUCUAUAGUGGUGGAGGACAGUGUGAUACAGCUGUAGUUUGGUGUUGCAGGUAUUCUAUAGUGGUAGAGGACAGUGUGAUACAGCAGAUCAAUGAGGACCCGGACCACACCGGCCUGGUAUGUCUGCUGUGUAUAAAGAACAUGAAGAGCCGGGCACAGGCACCACCUUGACGAUACGACCCGUCUUCGUGUCUCGUUGUUCUGUCCGUCUUCAACCUCGUAUAUACGAUCAUCUGAUUUGUAUUAUAAAUUGUUUACUUUAAUCAAGGCAGUAUCUCC
Molecule: RNA transcript, 4567 nt
Organism: Haliotis rufescens (red abalone)
Lineage: Eukaryota; Metazoa; Mollusca; Gastropoda; Lepetellida; Haliotidae
Gene name: peroxiredoxin-5, mitochondrial-like
Exons: 7
Source: RefSeq, a predicted model, not a curated record